This is a long non-coding RNA of Triticum aestivum (bread wheat), 366 nucleotides long. RefSeq lists it as uncharacterized. The transcript has 3 exons. NCBI's taxonomy places the organism in Eukaryota, Viridiplantae, Streptophyta, Magnoliopsida, Poales, Poaceae. The record is from RefSeq and is a predicted model, not a curated record.
CGCCCCCGCGCCCCCGCGCCCCCCACCACUGCAGCUCCCCCGCGCCGCCGCCCCCGCGCCCCCGCGCCCUGAGCCGGACGAGGAGGAGGAGGAGACGACGACCGCCUCUAACUCAGCUCAGCCAGGCCACGCGCCGCAGGCCUCUCCCCCCAAUCCAGGCCGCCGCCCGGACUCAAGUCUGCAGCCUCUCCUCCUCAAGAAGAAGAAGAGUUUGUCCAGAACAAGAUCGCCAACGUCGAGGGGCUCCGGGAACUGACGAAGCUUCGCGUGCUCAACCUCAGCUACAACCAAAUUUCGUGCAUCGGCCACGUGCAUAGAGAUGCCCUCGUAUGUCGUGUACAAGGGUAAGGUUUCCGGAGUCUACGA